AGCCUCUAGCAAAAAGUAUUAAAGGUCACGCCUGCCCAGUGAAAAUUUUAAACGGCCGCGGGAUCUUCCACCGUGCAAAGGUAGCAUAAUCACUUGUCCCCUAAAUAGUGACUAGUAUGAAUGGCCAAAUGAAGAUUUAACUGUCUCUUAUAUUUGAUCCUUGAAAUUAAUCUACCAGUACAAAAGCUGGAAUAAAAACAUAAGACGAAAAGACCCUAUGGAACUUCAAGUAAUAUUCUAAUGUAUAGAUUUAAAACUUUUAGUUGGGGCAACUCAGGAAAUAAAAAAAACUUCCAAUAAAAAAAUAGGAUAGACAUAUCUUACAUAGACCCAGUCCUUACUGACCAAAGAACCAAGCUACCCUAGGGAUAACAGCGCUAUCCCCUCCAAGAGCCCAAAUCGACGAGUGGGGUUUACGACCUCGAUGUUGGAUCAGGACCCCCAAACAGUGCAACAGCUGUUAAAGGUUUGUUUGUUCAACAAUUAAAGUCCUA
Molecule: ribosomal RNA, 494 nt
Filed under: Echinosaura palmeri
Lineage: Eukaryota; Metazoa; Chordata; Lepidosauria; Squamata; Gymnophthalmidae
Description: partial 16S ribosomal RNA
Rfam family: Bacterial large subunit ribosomal RNA
Source: RNAcentral